This 440-nucleotide ribosomal RNA is filed under the name uncultured bacterium. Its description in RNAcentral is "partial 16S ribosomal RNA". It matches the Rfam family "Bacterial small subunit ribosomal RNA", at positions 338 to 795 of the family's 1533-position model. The record is from RNAcentral.
CCUACGGGAGGCUGCAGUGGGGAAUAUUGCACAAUGGGGGCAACCCUGAUGCAGCGACGCCGCGUGAGUGAGGAAGUAUUUCGGUAUGUAAAGCUCUAUCAGCAGGGAAGAAAAUGACGGUACCUGACUCAGAAGCCCCGGCUAACUACGUGCCAGCAGCCGCGGUAAUACGUAGGGGGCAAGCGUUAUCCGGAUUUACUGGGUGUAAAGGGAGCGUAGACGGCUAAUCAAGUCAGAAGUGAAAACCCGGGGCUCAACUUUGGGACUGCUUUUGAAACUGAGUAGCUAGAGUGCAGGAGAGGUAAGCGGAAUUCCUAGUGUAGCGGUGAAAUGCGGAGAUAUUAGGAGGAACACCAGUUGCGAAGGCGGCUUACUGGACUGUAACUGACGUUGAGGCUCGAAAGCGUGGGGAGCAAACAGGAUUAGAUACCCCAGUAGUC